This 106-nucleotide ribosomal RNA is filed under the name Microcebus murinus (gray mouse lemur). Lineage: Eukaryota; Metazoa; Chordata; Mammalia; Primates; Cheirogaleidae. The record is from RNAcentral.
ACACCACCCUGAACGCGCCCGAUCUCGUCUGAUCUCGGAAGCUAAGCAGGGUCGGGCCGGGAAUCACCGUGCCGUAGGCUUCUUCUUUUUUUAUUCUUGGCCUGUU